Amphiprion ocellaris (clown anemonefish) is the source of this 1061-nucleotide long non-coding RNA. NCBI's taxonomy places the organism in Eukaryota, Metazoa, Chordata, Actinopteri, Pomacentridae. The record is from Ensembl.
CAAAGUUUCAGUGCAUUCCGUUGAUGUAGACGGCGUGAAAACGGAAACAACAAGUAUGCCGGCUCACUGUGCUGCAUACAGUUACACACUACGUCAUACGAUUGAGACAAGGAAACUUGGAAUGAAUUUUCAUAGGUUUCCCAGAGACUAUGGGUUGAGGAGGAAUUGGAAGUUUGUCAGCUUAGACCUGGUGUCAUUCCAUCAGUGUUAAACUUCCCGGCUCAUCUUGGAAGAGUACGUGCCAGAAAGACCACGACCAAGUAGCCUUGAGAUCUUAGACAGCGUCUCCCUGAGGUCCCUCUCUAUCUCCCCACACAUCCACCAACCACUGGAACACAUCUCCAAAGUUCUGCCGGGCCAGCUCUGCUUCUCCUCAGAAGAAGUGCCGCCACCUGCCAGAUGAAGGAGCCUUUUGAGAGGCAGCUGGCAUCGUGAUUGGACUGUACUUUGGUCUGUUCCAAUCCAGCUUCAGCUCCAGAGACGGCAGGCGGGACGAGUCAACGGAGGCCGGGUGGACGAAGACAUGCAGCUGAGUACAAUCCAGAAAACAACAGAGGAGGAGUGCAGUGACCCAGGGCCAGAACAAACAGAACCAAAGAACUACAGACUCUUCACAACCUGCUCAAACUCUUGGUACAGGACCUCACCACACGGGUCAAGAAGGUUUCCGUCUCAUUUCUACUCUGAAGCUCACCUUCUCCUGCUCAAACUGCUGACAAAUGUUUCUGCUGCUCUACAGUCUGGUCUCCAGAACUUCCUAAAAACUCUCAAAGUCUUUUCUGCUGCAGGUUGCUAUGUAGAACUGUUCCAGAAAACCUCACUAAACCACAUGGAGGGGCCUCAAGAUAGUCGUCCAAAUGAAACCUUACAAAAACCAAACUAGCACAACCCAAAUGCUAAAGUCUCCUGCAGCCUACCAGAGAACCUCUGAGAACAGAGAAUCAGGACAGGAACUCUUACCUUCUGGACAACCAACCUUGGUUCACAAACAAGAAUAGAGAUGGUGUCUGAUCAAAAACCUCUGAAGACUCACUACAGCCAAGAUAAAGACACAACUCAGC